AGUUUUAGUAGUUUAAAUUAAAAUAUUGAUUUUGUAAAUCAAAGUUAAAUUUUUUUUCUAAAAC
Molecule: transfer RNA, 64 nt
Filed under: Trioza urticae
Lineage: Eukaryota; Metazoa; Arthropoda; Insecta; Hemiptera; Triozidae
Description: tRNA-Thr
Source: RNAcentral